Long non-coding RNA from Panicum virgatum (switchgrass), 807 nucleotides. RefSeq lists it as uncharacterized. The record is from RefSeq and is a predicted model, not a curated record. NCBI's taxonomy places the organism in Eukaryota, Viridiplantae, Streptophyta, Magnoliopsida, Poales, Poaceae. The transcript is spliced from 2 exons.
CGGGCGCAGCUGCGCCUGCGUAGGCCAGGCAGGCAGGCAGCACACCGACGGGCGGCAGCGCGCACCGGCGCACGGCGCAUCUGUGCAAGCGGGCAGCGGCCCAGUGCCUCGUGCCUCGGCUCGUCCUCGGCUGCUCGGCAGAUGGCAGGUACCCCCUCUGUCCCGGUUUAAGUGUCGUCCGGGAACAGCGAUUCCCCUCACAGGCAUGGUUUUCUAGCGACGAUUAAAGCGGGACGGAGGGAGUAGGUGAUAGAGGCUGCCCCUCGGUGAUAGAAAGGUAUAUAUGGCAACAACGACCGGAACAUCGACGCACCACCUGGGUUACCCAUACUACAAGCAGCCUGCAGACAAAGUGCAGGAGUGACUAGUUCAGCACCAUGAAUUGGGACGUCCACGCCGUACGGCAGCGGGGGAGGUUUGUUUUGCUCUAGCCAGUGGCUACCCUCUUCUUCCGUUCCACCGCUUCCCAGAUGCCACCUGCCUCCCGCCCGGCUGCACCGGCCGCUCUUCAGGAAGUGUGUCCUUGUCGGUUCUCGCCUGUCAAACGCAGCCACGCAAAACCUUAACAAAGCGACUCCACUAAAAUUCCCAAAAACUCCGCUUUCGGUGGCGUUCUUUAAUAAUCUAUCUGCAAAGGAGCCGCUGGUGAAAAGAUCCGUCAAAAGUUACAAUGGCUUGUGUGGGAAGGGAGAAAAUGAGUCAAGAAUGUAACUAAGUCACAAAUCAUUAGUUUUUUUUACGUCCGUAAUCAUAUACGCGAACUGUUCUGGGUAGAGCAACUCCGGUAAUAGCAUAUGAAUCAGACUC